GCCGGUAUGGCGCAGUGGUAACGCGGUUAGUUCAUCAACCAACUCUUCAUUGGCGACUCUACUAAUUAUUCUUCAGUCGCACUUGUAUCCUCAAGCAAAUGCGAAGAUCAUUGGUUCAAUUCCAGUUAUCGGCA
This is a non-coding RNA of Melanomma pulvis-pyrius CBS 109.77, 134 nucleotides long. The record is from the annotation of a GenBank genome assembly. Lineage: Eukaryota; Fungi; Ascomycota; Dothideomycetes; Pleosporales; Melanommataceae.